This 471-nucleotide long non-coding RNA is filed under the name Homo sapiens (human). RNAcentral's name for it is "non-protein coding lnc-NME4-1:7". Lineage: Eukaryota; Metazoa; Chordata; Mammalia; Primates; Hominidae. The record is from RNAcentral.
AUGGCGCUGAAAGCAAAGAAGGAAGCUCCUGCCUCUCCUGAAGCCGAAGCCAAAGCGAAGGCUUUAAAGGCCAAGAAGGCAGCGUUGAAAGGUGUCCACAGCCACAUAAAAAAGAAGACCCGCACGUCACUCACCUUCCAGCGGCCCAAGACACUGCGACGCCGGAGGCGGCCUGAAUAUCCUUGGAAGAGCACCCCCAGGAGAAACAAGCUUGGCCACUAUGCUGUCAUCAAGUUUCCGCUGACCACGGAGUCGGCCGUGAAGAGGACAGAAGAAAACAACACGCUUUUGUUCACUGUGGAUGUUAAAGCCAACAAGCACCAGAUCAAACAGGCUGUGAAGAAGCUCUAUGACGGUGAUGUGGCCGAGGUCACCACCCUGAUUCCGCCUGAUGGAGAGAAGAAGGCAUGUGUUCGACUGGCUCCUGAUUACGAUGCGUUGGAUGUUGCCAACAAAAUUGGGAUCAUCUAA